This 1559-nucleotide ribosomal RNA is filed under the name Escherichia coli 2-222-05_S4_C1. RNAcentral's name for it is "bacterial LSU rRNA". It matches the Rfam family "Bacterial large subunit ribosomal RNA", at positions 1388 to 2925 of the family's 2925-position model. Lineage: Bacteria; Pseudomonadati; Pseudomonadota; Gammaproteobacteria; Enterobacterales; Enterobacteriaceae. The record is from RNAcentral.
CCCCUAAGGCGAGGCCGAAAGGCGUAGUCGAUGGGAAACAGGUUAAUAUUCCUGUACUUGGUGUUACUGCGAAGGGGGGACGGAGAAGGCUAUGUUGGCCGGGCGACGGUUGUCCCGGUUUAAGCGUGUAGGCUGGUUUUCCAGGCAAAUCCGGAAAAUUAAGGCUGAGGCGUGAUGACGAGGCACUACGGUGCUGAAGCAACAAAUGCCCUGCUUCCAGGAAAAGCCUCUAAGCAUCAGGUAACAUCAAAUCGUACCCCAAACCGACACAGGUGGUCAGGUAGAGAAUACCAAGGCGCUUGAGAGAACUCGGGUGAAGGAACUAGGCAAAAUGGUGCCGUAACUUCGGGAGAAGGCACGCUGAUAUGUAGGUGAAGUCCCUCGCGGAUGGAGCUGAAAUCAGUCGAAGAUACCAGCUGGCUGCAACUGUUUAUUAAAAACACAGCACUGUGCAAACACGAAAGUGGACGUAUACGGUGUGACGCCUGCCCGGUGCCGGAAGGUUAAUUGAUGGGGUUAGCGGUAACGCGAAGCUCUUGAUCGAAGCCCCGGUAAACGGCGGCCGUAACUAUAACGGUCCUAAGGUAGCGAAAUUCCUUGUCGGGUAAGUUCCGACCUGCACGAAUGGCGUAAUGAUGGCCAGGCUGUCUCCACCCGAGACUCAGUGAAAUUGAACUCGCUGUGAAGAUGCAGUGUACCCGCGGCAAGACGGAAAGACCCCGUGAACCUUUACUAUAGCUUGACACUGAACAUUGAGCCUUGAUGUGUAGGAUAGGUGGGAGGCUUAGAAGUGUGGACGCCAGUCUGCAUGGAGCCGACCUUGAAAUACCACCCUUUAAUGUUUGAUGUUCUAACGUUGACCCGUAAUCCGGGUUGCGGACAGUGUCUGGUGGGUAGUUUGACUGGGGCGGUCUCCUCCUAAAGAGUAACGGAGGAGCACGAAGGUUGGCUAAUCCUGGUCGGACAUCAGGAGGUUAGUGCAAUGGCAUAAGCCAGCUUGACUGCGAGCGUGACGGCGCGAGCAGGUGCGAAAGCAGGUCAUAGUGAUCCGGUGGUUCUGAAUGGAAGGGCCAUCGCUCAACGGAUAAAAGGUACUCCGGGGAUAACAGGCUGAUACCGCCCAAGAGUUCAUAUCGACGGCGGUGUUUGGCACCUCGAUGUCGGCUCAUCACAUCCUGGGGCUGAAGUAGGUCCCAAGGGUAUGGCUGUUCGCCAUUUAAAGUGGUACGCGAGCUGGGUUUAGAACGUCGUGAGACAGUUCGGUCCCUAUCUGCCGUGGGCGCUGGAGAACUGAGGGGGGCUGCUCCUAGUACGAGAGGACCGGAGUGGACGCAUCACUGGUGUUCGGGUUGUCAUGCCAAUGGCACUGCCCGGUAGCUAAAUGCGGAAGAGAUAAGUGCUGAAAGCAUCUAAGCACGAAACUUGCCCCGAGAUGAGUUCUCCCUGACUCCUUGAGAGUCCUGAAGGAACGUUGAAGACGACGACGUUGAUAGGCCGGGUGUGUAAGCGCAGCGAUGCGUUGAGCUAACCGGUACUAAUGAACCGUGAGGCUUAACCUU